RNAcentral lists this microRNA precursor (62 nucleotides) under Sphenodon punctatus (tuatara). RNAcentral's name for it is "Spt-Mir-216-P2a_pre stem-loop". The record is from RNAcentral. Lineage: Eukaryota; Metazoa; Chordata; Lepidosauria; Sphenodontia; Sphenodontidae.
AAAUCUCUGCAGGCAAAUGUGAUGUCUCGGUAGCAAUCUCACAGUUACCAGUAGAGAUUCUG